RNAcentral lists this ribosomal RNA (377 nucleotides) under uncultured bacterium. RNAcentral describes it as "bacterial SSU rRNA". It matches the Rfam family "Bacterial small subunit ribosomal RNA", at positions 523 to 898 of the family's 1533-position model. The record is from RNAcentral.
AUACGGAGGGUGCGAGCGUUGUUCGGAAUUAUUGGGCGUAAAGCGCGUGUAGGCGGCCUUUUAAGUCUGAUGUGAAAGCCCCGGGCUCAACCUGGGAAGUGCAUUGGAAACUGGAAGGCUUGAGUACGGGAGAGGGUAGUGGAAUUCCGAGUGUAGGGGUGAAAUCCGUAGAUAUUCGGAGGAACACCGGUGGCGAAGGCGGCUACCUGGACCGAUACUGACGCUGAGACGCGAAAGCGUGGGGAGCAAACAGGAUUAGAUACCCUGGUAGUCCACGCCGUAAACGAUGGGUACUAGGGGUCGCGGGUAUUGACCCCUGCGGUGCCGAAGCUAACGCAUUAAGUACCCCGCCUGGGGAGUACGGCCGCAAGGCUAAA